RNAcentral lists this ribosomal RNA (330 nucleotides) under Triticum aestivum (bread wheat). Its description in RNAcentral is "partial small subunit ribosomal RNA". The record is from RNAcentral. Lineage: Eukaryota; Viridiplantae; Streptophyta; Magnoliopsida; Poales; Poaceae.
AUGGUGGGUUCAAUGGCAAACCCUCCCCACCCCUCUCCAGAUUGUAAUCCAGAGGAAGAUAUCUGUUCUGAGGCGGAUUCAGACGCCGCUGACCACUCCUAUUUACCCCCCAAGCCAUUUUGGUGGGAGAUGGAAAAAUCUGGAGUGAAAACAAGGCCUUCAGAGCAGACAGUGCUACCUGUCGAAGCAGAUCUCUUGUUGGGUCCCAAUAGCUCCUCAGAGAUGGAUUCAGAGAUAGAUGACCAGUCCAAUUCCGCCACCGAGGUGUAUGCCCUAACUUGGCAUGGUUAUACUGCUCAUAUCAUGCAUAUGGUGUCUUGCAUUGCAUAG